Molecule: long non-coding RNA, 430 nt
Organism: Eptesicus fuscus (big brown bat)
Lineage: Eukaryota; Metazoa; Chordata; Mammalia; Chiroptera; Vespertilionidae
Exons: 3
Source: RefSeq, a predicted model, not a curated record
AGUGCAGAGGGCACCGCCCAGGCCCGCACUGGUCCCACGGGGCGUCCUCCCUAAGUGGUUUUUAUGCCCAGGCUUCCAGGAGCCCUGUGUCUGAGCCGCUGAUUCCUGAGAAAGCAGUUCAGAUUAUCCCUUGAAGACAGAUUUCUUGAUGUGAACAAGCCACUAUAGAUUGAUUAUAAGCAUUUUUAGUCCAUCCUCCUGCUUAUUCAAGCCCACAAUUGAGAAAGAAGGUCGAAUUCCAGAAUUUCAUAUUUUCCAGAAAAUGCUUUGUGAAUAAUUAAAUUGGAUUCAAGCAAGGAAAACUGAAGUUAUUUAUAAAAACAUGGAAUCGUGGCCUGGCUGGUGUGACUCAGUUGGAAGGAGCAUCGUCCUGUACACCAAAAGUUGGUGGGUUCAAUUCCUGGUCAGGGCACAUACCUAGGUUGUGAGU